Molecule: ribosomal RNA, 1290 nt
Filed under: Triticum aestivum (bread wheat)
Lineage: Eukaryota; Viridiplantae; Streptophyta; Magnoliopsida; Poales; Poaceae
Description: partial small subunit ribosomal RNA
Source: RNAcentral
AUGUUGCCCCCUCCGCGCCGCGGCCCGGCGUACAAGACCAAGAUGUGCGCGCUGUGGCAGAACGGCAACUGCGACCGCGAGCUCUGCAGCUUCGCCCACGGCACGGCCGAGCUCCGCCGGCCCCCCUCCUCCCGGCCCACCUUCCCGCCCCACCACGCCGGGAGAAGAGAUUAUAGAGGUGGUGAUUUCAGAGGCAGGAUUGAAAGGAGGUUCUCACCUCGCAGGAGGCAUUCCCCUGGAAGAGAUUUCAGGGGUCAUCGUUCCCUACACGAUCGAAGGCCAACUUCUCGAGAAAGGGAGUCUAGCUUUUCACGGUCUCCCAGCAGGAAGAGUGAGAGGAGGCAUGAAAAGAAGAUGGAUGAUGGAGAAACAAACUCAUCUAAGAGUUCUCCUAUCUCUGAUAAUAAUGAUAGGAAAAAGGAAAAAGUCACUAGUGGUGACGAGAAAGAGGAUUAUGAAAAGGAGCUGAAACAAGUUAGAUCAGAUAUGGAGGCUUUGCGUGACGAUAAAUCUCAUCUCGAGAUUGUUUUGGAUGAGAAAAUGGAUGAAGUGCGCAGGAUUUCUAGCCAAGUAAGUGACCUUGAUCAGCAGCUGAGGAGGGAGAAAGAAGAAUGUCAUAGAAUGACGUCAAAAAUGAAGAAGUUCCUAAAAGCUCAUGUCCGUUUUAUGAAAGCUCGGGAGGAGUUGAAAAGGUCACAAGCUCGUUUUGAGAGACUUGGUGAUAUGCUUGCUUCAGAAAUUUUAAAGCGUGGUGCUAAUGAAGAAGCUUCCAGCGUCCAUGUUGAUGAAGAUCUAAAUGGACCUUAUGAAAGGAGUCCAAAUGCUACUCCAGCUAAAAAGCGAUCAAUCCCAUACUCAACUAGUGAUGAGGCAAAAGCUGCUAAGAAAAGAGGAGAGCGAGAGACUGAUACAUUCACUAGAUCAGAUAAAUAUAGGUCAGAAGGCGAUAUUACAGACUAUGAUAAAACAAGUAAGGGUAGUGAUGGAACAAAAUCUAUAUAUUUGAAGAAGAGACUGUGGGAAGAUGAAAAGAAUAAGCUUGGAAAUGCUGCCUCCUCUGCAGACCAGGUGAAAGAUUCUCCAGUGAAGCACGCUUUGCCCUCCACUGGUAUGGCUGCUCGUGCCUUAUAUGACCUUAACGAGGCAGUUGAACUGGAUGAUAGAAACGAACAGAUAGAUGCAUUGCUAGAAAAUGAUGCUGACGGGACUAGAUCGCCGGUACCUCCAGUGGGCCAAAAUGCCUUCGAGCAGUAUGACGACCUCGACGAGGAAGUGGAUGUGGACGUAUAA